Molecule: non-coding RNA, 1673 nt
Organism: Podarcis muralis (Common wall lizard)
Lineage: Eukaryota; Metazoa; Chordata; Lepidosauria; Squamata; Lacertidae
Source: RefSeq, a predicted model, not a curated record
CAGCCAGGGCCAAAGUCCUCUCCCUUCGGACUCCAAAAUCCGCGUUUUUCCACCCAAAUCGGACGUCUCUUUUUCUCUCUCUUUCUGGGGGAAAAUGGAUCAAUUUAUUAUUUUCGCCUUUUCGGCGCUGGUUCUGGGUUCGAAUCUCGGACGAAUAGAAGGGCAGGAAGCUGUGGAAGUGGAGAGGCUCUACGGCCAAUGGCACGAAGUGGCCCUGGGUUCGACUUGCCGCUGGGUCCAGGCCAAUGGCGGCCGCUUCGCCGCCGGGACGCUGGUCCUGGGUGCGGGGAAGGCGCCGGGGGAACUGACCGCCACCAGCACCCGGCUCAGGCAAGGGGCGUGCCGGUCCUACACCCAGGACUACCAGAAGGGCGCCGAAGCAGGAAGGUUCACCUUCCAGAAUGCAAGGUGGAAGGCGCACGGCGAGACCUACGUGGCGCACGCCGACCCCGACGUGUUCGCCAUCUUGGUCACGGAGAAGAACAGCACCCACGGGCUCAGCACCAGCGCCAAGCUCUAUGGAAGAACCCCGGCGCUGAGGGAGGACCUGGUGGAGGACUUCCGGCGGCGGGCCCUUGCACUGGGGAUCCCAGAGGAGGCCAUCUUUGUCCUGAGCAACCAAGGGGAGUGCGUCCCGCCCAAGGCCGAAGAUGCGCCCCAGGAGAGGGUGCGCAGGACCCCCUUGUUUGAGGAGGAAGGCUCGGCCGACGGAUUCGCACCCGCGUUCCCGGACGUCAAGGAAGCCGACUGCCAGCUGCCCCGGGACGCCGGCCCCUGCCUGGGCGCCGAGUUGCGCUUCUUCUACAACGCCAGCGCACGGUCGUGCCAGAGCUUCCUCUACGGCGGUUGCCUGGGCAACGCCAACCGCUUCCUGUCCGAACGGGCCUGUCUGCAGACGUGCCGGACCGAAGCCGCCUGCCGCCUGCCCAUCACCCCCGGAGCCCCCUGUCCGUCAACCUUCUGGGCCUUUGACUCCGCCCAGGGCGCCUGCGUCACUUUCCGGGGCUGCGGGGGCAACGCCAACAAGUUCUACCUGGAGAAGGAGUGCAAGGAGUACUGCGGGGUCCUGGCCGAAGAUUAUUGGGGAGAAGGUUCUAGUCCUCCUCUCCCACGCCAACAAGUUCUACCUGGAGAAGGAGUGCAAGGAGUACUGCGGGGUCCUGGCCGAAGGUACCAUUCAUGAUUAGUCACUAUUAUUCACUAUUAUUAAUUACUAUUAUUAUUAUUAUUAAUAUGGAGAUUAUUGGGGAGAAGGUUCUAGUCCUCCUCUCCCACGCCAACAAGUUCUACCUGGAGAAGGAGUGCAAGGAGUACUGCGGGGUCCUGGCCGAAGGUACCAUUAAUGAUUAGUCACUAUUAUUCACUAUUAUUAUUAAUUACUAUUAUUAUUAUUAUUAAUAUGAAGAUUAUUGGGGAGAAGGUUCUAGUCCUCCUCUCCCACGCCAACAAGUUCUACCUGGAGUACUGCGGGGUCCUGGCCGAAGGCGACGACGACUUCCUGCGUCUGACGGCGCCCUGAGGUCAUCCGGCGUCAAUCAAACCCGCAACCUGUCAAUCAACCAAUAAAGGCGGGCUCUUCAUGAUCAAAGCGGAGCGUUCCAUUUCUUUAAAGGGGGGUUUUCUUAAUUAUAAAAACGGAGCAUUCCAUUUAAUUAAAGGGGGGCUCUUAAUUA